This 938-nucleotide long non-coding RNA is filed under the name Marmota monax (woodchuck). The record is from RNAcentral. Lineage: Eukaryota; Metazoa; Chordata; Mammalia; Rodentia; Sciuridae.
AUUUGGAAUAUGGGACACUUUGCCUUUCUGUUGUAUGCAUUUCUGAAUAACAUUUUCCAAAUUGUAUUUUAUUUAUUUUUCUUAAUGUAAUUUGAAGUUAAUGUUUAAUGAAAGUUCUUAAGACAUGGUUUAUUUUAAUUGUAAAUAGUACAUAAAACUGUAUUCUAUAAAUAAUCAGGAAAGCUACCUGUAACAACAAAGAGAGUUAUCUUUUUUGAAAAAAACUAGAAACGCAAAAUGCACCACAUGUACACUGAGUGACAGUAAUACUGUGUGGUACUGGCAUGUUUUAGCUUAGGUAGGUCCCAUGAAUCUAAAUUCCUAUGGAAAAGUGAACCAAAAUCUGUAUUUCCUGUGCAUUACUGAUGAUGAUACCUGACAUAUGAAAAAGCACUUCAAAUUCUGUUGUUUUAAUUUCCUUUUUUGGAGGGAGUACUUACUGCGGGUUGAACCCUAGAAACCUUUACCACUGAGCUACAUCCCCAUCCCUUUUUAUUAUUUGAGACAGGUCUUCCUUAAUCCCUGAGGCUGAUCUUAAACGCUCGUGAUCUUCCUUCCUAACCCUCCUGAAUUGCCUACCACUUGAUUUUUUUCAGUAGUCCCUAACAUGUAUUAUAGAUGGCAGAAAUCAAAGAGUGAAGAUGUGUUAUUUGUCAGGGUUACAUAGCCAGUUAGCAAGCUGAGGUUUAAUAUUAGUUUUCUUCGUGUUCUUCCUAGUGCAUCAUUCUACUACCUUUCUUAUAAAGAACUUGAAUUAUUUUCCCAAAAGACUGGUACAUGAUAAGCUGCUAAAUUAACCAAGAUAAAAAUUUUAAAAAAUAUUUGGCUUGCAGAAUAUUUGCUGCAUUUUUCCCACUUUUUAUUGGUACAUUAUAGUUGUACAUACUAAUGGAACUUGCUUUUAUAUAUUCAUACAUGCACACGAUACAACAAUAUGC